AAGACAGAAGUUGAUGAGGAAGCAUUCGUAUAUCUGCUGACACGACCAGAUCUUGGUGUCUUAGAAAUUGUCAUCCCAGGCACAGCAAACAUUGAUGAUUCUUUAAGCUCAAGCUCAUUAGGAGAUACUGAAGGUACGUCAGAGUCCGAUGACACAGCAAUGUUGAUUAGAAGCCCUCCUGAAAAAAAUCAAGCUGAGGAACGUCGUCUUGCCAAGAUGAUUGAAGAUAUCCUAAAGACCAGCCCUGGAGGUGAAAAGGUCAUAAACGAAUAUGCCCGCACCAAAGGUCUGUCAGAUGCCCA
Long non-coding RNA from Silurus meridionalis, 302 nucleotides. RefSeq lists it as uncharacterized. The transcript has 3 exons. Lineage: Eukaryota; Metazoa; Chordata; Actinopteri; Siluriformes; Siluridae. The record is from RefSeq and is a predicted model, not a curated record.